This 253-nucleotide ribosomal RNA is filed under the name uncultured bacterium. RNAcentral describes it as "partial 16S ribosomal RNA". It matches the Rfam family "Bacterial small subunit ribosomal RNA", at positions 524 to 776 of the family's 1533-position model. The record is from RNAcentral.
UACGUAGGUGGCAAGCGUUGUUCGGAUUCAUUGGGCGUAAAGGGUGCGUAGGCGGCGCGGUAAGUCGGGUGUGAAAUCUCGGAGCUUAACUCCGAAACUGCAUUCGAUACUGCCGUGCUUGAGGACUGGAGAGGAGACUGGAAUUUACGGUGUAGCGGUGAAAUGCGUAGAUAUCGUAAGGAGGACCAGUGGCGAAGGCGGGUCUCUGGACAGUUCCUGACGCUGAGGCACGAAGGCCAGGGGAGCAAACGGG